ACGCCACGGCCCGCCGGGCCCCGCAGGGAGUUCGAAGGCUUCGAGGCUGCUCCCAUACGCACUGGUGGAAGGAGAGGCCGCGCUCCCGGCUGAGCACGGUGUCACGGGUGCUGCAGCCCACUGCGGAGCAACUUCGGGUCAUCUUCUUGUUACGUGGGGCCCCACCUUCGGGGUUCCCGCGACAGCAUGAAUCACGACCACUUUAGCUCCGCCCGUUGACUCUGCGGCUACGACCUUUAUUUGUCACGAAAGGCGGGCUUUAGAGGCGCGGGACUUCCACACUUCCUCUCCGAAGGCCCUGCGCCGGUGCCGUAGCCAAUGACAGGCCACGUUGUGUCCCAGCAGCCAAUCGGAAGGGCCUGAGCCUGAAGACGUGCAUUUGACCGCUCCUCCCUCCGCGUUGGAGGCGGAAUAGUGGGUUUUGCUGCAACCGGUUUAUUUUCCUUCUGUUUUCACCCAUUCUGGCACAAUCUGGCGCCAUCGUCCUUCUUGUGAGGCCAAGCCUGAAAAUGCGAAGCAGAGAGGCAGGACCAAAAUUGAGGCGAAUCCAGGAACCUGCCAAUGGGUCUCCGGGUGCGGUCUCUGAAACUGGAGGAUAUCGGGAGGAAAGGCUCUCCGAUGCGGAGAUAAUGGGGAAGCUCUUGGCAUGGUUGGCUGUAGGUAUGUGAUACCGGAGGAGCAGGAGUCAAAUAGGAUACGCCGACUUUUAAUUCAAGGAACCCUUUUCUGAAACACUUUGCCACAAUGAAGGAAAUAAGGUAAGGUUCUUGGGGCUCCUCAGUAGUAAUAGGGGCAGGGGACAAGGGGCAAUUAAGUGGUUUUGGUUGGGAAUGAGGCAUUAUGAAUAGCUUUCAGGAGAUAGAGCUUAGAACAAUGUCUUAGUUAUAAGCUCUUAUGUUUGAGGAAGAGAUUUCAAUUUGCUUAGAGAAGGAAACGGGCCAGUGGGUUUUUGUCUCUGAGAAGGAGAUCCUUAGCAUACAGAAAACAGAGAAGGGUUUGCAACUUUUCCGUUUCUUUGUAUAGCACACAAAAAUAAUUCCAAAUAUCCAGGCCUAACAAGAUUGCUUCUUUUUCCCCUUUGUGUUUACUUUGUCCAGAUUACAGCCGAAGAUACAUAUUAAGGUAUUACUUAUUCACACCAGUUUUCCAUUAUAAUAUGCUUGUAUCUUCUCUGAAUGGAAUUAAUAGCUUUUGGUUAUGGUUCCUUAAAAGUCACAUGGCCUAAGGAUAGAUGGUCAAGGAACUUUGGAAAAAUUGGUCCCUGGGGGAUGUGCAGGGCAAAUACUUUUUGGCUGUAAGGUGUGUGCAGAGAGUAAGAACUGGAUUUAAAUACUGUAAGUUGGUUGGGCUGUUAGAGCCUUUUCCUGCUCAACCAAUUAAGACCCGAGUGAGGCUGAAUAAAAAUAACAUUGUUUUUAGCUAUCUUUAAGGAAAAAAUUAGUUGCCUUAUAUUUUUGUAACAGUUUUACUCAGAUAUAAUUCUCAUACCACACAACUAAUUGGUUUAAAGUGUACAAUUCAGUGGGUUUUAGUAUAUGCACAGAAUUGUGGAACAGUCACAAUCAAUAUUAGAACAUUUUCAUCACUCCAGAAAGAAACCUCAUUCUUACUAGCAGCACCUCCAAAUAUUCCCCCACCCCGCUCAGCAAACACUAAUUUAGUUUCCGUGUGCCUCUGCCUGCUCUGUACACUUCAUGUAAGUGGAAUUAUGAACUAAUAUAUGGUCUUUGUGACUGGCUUCUUUCACUUGGAAUGUUUUCAGAGUUCAUCCAUCUUAUAGCACGUAUCAGUACUUUAUUUUUUAUUGCUGAAUCGUACUCCAUUUUAUGGAUGUAGCAGAUUUUGUUUAUCCGUUCAACAGUUGGUGGACAUUUGGGUUUUCCAAUUUUUUUUUUUACUAUUAUGAACAUUUGUGUACAAGUUUUUGUGUGGACAAAUGUUUUCAUUUUCCUGAUUACACACCUAAGAGUGGAAUUGGUGAGUCAUAAGAUAACUGUGUUUAGCUUCUUGAGGAAGUGCCAGAUUAUUUUCCCUAGUGGCUGCACCAUUUUACAUUCCCACCAGCAGUGGAUGAGGCUGCCAGUUUCUCCACAUUUUUGUGCAUGUGAAGUGGCUGUCUCAUCGUGGUGUUUGCCUUUUCUUAAGGACUCAAAAGUUUGCAGAUACAGGCAUUCACUUGCCAUUUUCUUAAGGAAUUGUACUCUCAGAGAUGUUGAGAAAAGAUACAUGGGUCUUGGAAGAUAAUUACUCAAAAUAUGCAGGGAAGGUAGUAUAUCUUUCUAUUUUAAAUGUAUUAAGUAUUCCUGGAACUAUAGCAGUGAGUUGGAAAUGGAGGAUUGUCCAAGUAAAAAACAUUUAUUAAGGCUUUAAUGAAAUCUACCUAUUUUAUGGUAUAUAAUCUCAUUAAUUGUCCACUUGGAAAGAAUAAUAACAGAUAUUUAUUUAUUGGCCAGUUACUAUGGGCCACAAAUUAUGCUGAGCUUUUUUUAAUUUCAUUUCAUUUUAUUUUAUUUUUUGAGAUGGGGUCUCACUCUGUCACCCAGGCUGGAGUGCAGUGGCGCAAUCUCAGCUUAUUGCAACCUCUGUCUUCCAGGCCCAAGCAAUCUUCCCACCUCAGCUUCCUAAGUAGCUGGGA
Molecule: long non-coding RNA, 2635 nt
Filed under: Homo sapiens (human)
Lineage: Eukaryota; Metazoa; Chordata; Mammalia; Primates; Hominidae
Description: non-protein coding THAP9-AS1:24
Source: RNAcentral